CGUUCGUGUCGAUAAAUCAUAAUCGUUGGACAGUUCCGUACCACGGAAUCUAAACCGAGCCGCGAUUAAUUACAAAAGUGAUAUUUAACGCUGUUGGUGUCCGCUGCGGGUAAAAUUGAAAAAUCUAACGGGUAGCAUUGAUGAAUUGAAAUGUCUAUGCUACUAUGAGAUUGUUUUAGUAUUUUUCAGACAAUUCAGAUUUAUCAUUUAACUUUCUAGCUGUGGAAUAAUAAUUUUCAAACUAGAAUGUUUAUAAUAAUCCAUUAAAACUUAAGAUGGCCGCUUACAAAGUUCCCUUUCUAAGGAGGAGUUUCGUUCACCGCGAAGAGGUGCUGACACGCCACGAUCUCUCCCGUUUCUCUAUGUUAGAAAAUAACAUUUAACCGUUCAACGGUGCAUAAACCUAAAUCGUCCGAGUUAUCUCGAAAAUCUCGUGCGGCAACGCUUCUUAUGUUUCUCCGUUGAACCGGAAGAGGAGGUUUGUCCGUUGUCUCGGCGUUCAUUUAUUCAGCAUCUCGAUGCCCCUUUUGUGUUUGCUCAGCCACGCCUGAGAAUCGGACGAUUCCUAGCAACAACUAGAUCUGCUUCUAAUCCGUUCGAUUCCAUAAGCACAUAGCACGCGAUAUUAUUAGCCAUAUCAUCCAUUGGCGUCUCCUCUUUCUUCCUUUUGUUUUAUUUACCCCUCAGAAUACUCGUAGAAUAGAAACUCAUAACUCACCUCUGUUACAUGUAGCCAACAAAAAUGUCUAAUUUUUACACUAAUGAAAAAUUCAUCAUUUUUUCAAUGACAAUUCAUAAUAAUUAACGUAUAGCAAUACUGUACAGAAUUUUUAGUAAUUUGUUGCAAUUUUUUUUUUUUUUAAUUACUUAAGUGUAUUAAAUUUGAAUUAUAGAUAAAUGGUGUUGAUUUUAUAUAAAUCAACAGGUUGAAAUAAUAUCUAUUGACAAAAUUUGCGACGCCAAUGAUGGAGUGACUCAACGUUCUCUCCCGAUUUCGAUCGUUAAUAGGAACCGCUUCACAAUAAGAAUAAUAAUAGUAAUAAGAAGAAUAACAAGGAGGGUAAUGGAAGAGUAACCGAGCGAACAGUGUAACGACGACACAACGGUGUCCCAUUGUGCGCCCUGUAUCCCGAUACCAGGCAUGAACUGGCCCGAACAAUCGGAAGAAACGCGAGGUGGAUGGCGGCUAUGGUGGUCACACUUUGCUGCCUCAGGAUGUACUGAGCACCCAGUCACCGUGUACCUUUUUUCCUUUUAGUUAGGUCGUCCAGGGUAUUACGGUCACCGAUCCGUUAAUGUUCAAUGGAAAUAUUUGUGAAUAAUAAGUAAUGCGGUAUUCCCAUUUUUAAACGGUAUUUAUGCAUGGAUUAUAGCCACCAUAAUGAUUUCUAUUCCUAUUAACUUGUAAGUGAUGUGUACUGAUAAUACUAGACGAUAGUCUCUAUUUACCUGGAUUCUACUUAAACAUAACUAAUGUGGAAUUUUGAUUUUUAAACGAUAACGUGGUAUCUAUUUUUAAACGGUAAUAUUUAUGGAGUAUCUAAUAAUAUUAGCAGUAUGUAUUUGUAAGUGAAGUGAUAUGCAUUAAUAACGUUUACUUUGCAUAAUAAACCUGGCAAACAGUUUUAUUGUUUUGAAUAAAAGAAGAAAAUUAUUGUAAACAGCAACAACCUUGGAAAUAUAAAAAGAUAUAUGCAACAGAGGAUGAAGAAUACGAACGGAAAGAAAAAGAAACCACUUUUCCGACCCAAUGCUCAGCUACAUGCGCGUUUCUUCUUUCAUUAAGAUGCAAUCACUGGCUACAGCGGAGCCGAGCAAUGUUCUUUUAACCACCAGCCGGGCAUUAGCACGAUGGAAAGAAAUCGUCUUCAUUACGACGGCGAAACACUGUAGCGACUGGUAGGCUUUUUUUUAUCAGACUCAACAAACGCGUAAUUUCCAUUGGUUAUGCUCUCUAAACGCCAUGUUUCAACGUUAUGAGAUACCAUCAUUUGAAUCCCUGCUGCAGCACCGAUUGAUAAUUGCCACCGGUGCGGUGAGAGAAAGUAUUUCGAGGAAUUAUCAGAAAUGAUCGCUUCUGUCUACCAAUUAAUCGAUAUUGCUAAUUAUGACCUCAAAUUUGCAUAUUUUUAUUUAUAAACAUGGAUACUUUAUUCGAUGGAUUCUCCCUGUCUCUUCUCCCCCAUUUUCUUUUUUUUAAUAAAAAUGAUCGAAAAGAUGAUCUAAAUCCUAUGUAUAUAUUCUUAAUUAACACGUUAAGGGUUAUGAAAUCACGGUAUUGUUUAUGAAACAACCCAUUGCCCAGUUUUCCUGAUAUCCGUUUCCUUCGGGAUCCUGUUUCUCUGUAAUUUGACCGUCUCGAAAUCCAUCCGUUCCGUUAUUAAACCGUGUAGCGAUUUCACAGUUCCGUAACCCAUUUAUCUUAGGGUCUAACCAUUCCUUGAUCCACGCGUUCCG
Osmia bicornis bicornis is the source of this 2457-nucleotide long non-coding RNA. RefSeq lists it as uncharacterized. The transcript is spliced from 3 exons. The record is from RefSeq and is a predicted model, not a curated record. NCBI's taxonomy places the organism in Eukaryota, Metazoa, Arthropoda, Insecta, Hymenoptera, Megachilidae.